This 928-nucleotide non-coding RNA is filed under the name Acanthaster brevispinus. Lineage: Eukaryota; Metazoa; Echinodermata; Asteroidea; Valvatida; Acanthasteridae. The record is from RNAcentral.
ACCGAUUUGGUCCUAGUCCUUCCCUCAACUUUCUCCAGGAUGAUACAUGCAAAGCCCUCAAUUCUACGGUGAGCUCAAUCUGCUUCUGGUCUCCCCCGAGAUACCAGAACACCAAAAAUAGCAUCAGGUUACCGCCUAUCGUAACCCAAGACGCUAAGGCCAGCCAAACAAAAAUAGCCCACACCUGCAGUACUUGACAUUACACAAUAAGCGCUAGCUUGAUGUAGCCAUAGAGGAAAAAACCGGUAAAUUAUGUGCCAGCCACCGCGGUUAUACAUAAGAUUUUAGUUGAGGGCCUCGGUAAAAAGGUGAUAAAACAGCACCAGAGUCCUCGCCCCCUCAAGCAGUAGUAAGCUAACAGGACCCUAAGAACUAUCCUACCAAACCCUGCCCUAUCCAAACCCUUAAGAUUCAUCACCAAAGCUCAAAGAUAAACUGGGAUUAGAUACCCCAUUAUAUGAGCCCUAAAACAACUUAAGCACCUGAGAACUACGAACAAAAGUUUAAAACUCAAAGGACUUGGCGGUUUUCUAGACCUCCCUGGAGGAGCUUGCUAUCUAACCGAUAACCCACGAAACACCUCACCAGCCUUUGCAAACCGCAGCCUGUAUACCAUCGUCGUCAGUCUACCCUUUAAAGACAGUAUACCUAAUGGAGUGAUCUCCAUAUCCUCCUCCACGUCGGAUCGAGGUGCAGCUAAUAGGCCGGGGAUAAGUGAGCUACAAUAACUAAUCAACACACCCUUUAAGCCAACAUAUGGACAAGCCCAUGAAAACCGGGACUCAAAACAGGAUUCAGCAGUAACGCCUACAAGGGAAUAGGUGUGAAGCACACAGCUCUAGAAUGCGCACACAUCGCCCGUCACUCUCGUCUACAGAGGAGAAAAGUCGUAACAAAGUAGGCGUAUUGGAAAAUGCGCCUGGUACAA